CUACGUGCCAGCAGCCGCGGUAAUACGGAAGGUCCAGGCGUUAUCCGGAUUUAUUGGGUUUAAAGGGAGCGUAGGCUGGAGAUUAAGUGUGUUGUGAAAUGUAGACGCUCAACGUCUGAAUUGCAGCGCAUACUGGUUUCCUUGAGUAUGCACAACGUAGGCGGAAUUCGUCGUGUAGCGGUGAAAUGCUUAGAUAUGACGAAGAACUCCGAUUGCGAAGGCAGCUUACGGGAGCACAACUGACGCUGAAGCUCGAAGGUGCGGGUAUCAAACAGGAUUAGAUACCCUGGUAGUCCGCACAGUAAACGAUGGAUGCCCGUUGUUAGUUCACUUAAGAAUUAGCGACCAAGCGAAAGCAUUAAGCAUCCCACCUGGGGAGUACGCCGGCAACGGUGAAACUCAAAGGAAUUGACGGGGGCCCGCACAAGCGGAGGAACAUGUGGUUUAAUUCGAUGAUACGCGAGGAACCUUACCCGGGCUUGAAUUGCAGAGGAAGGAUUUAGAGAUA
This 508-nucleotide ribosomal RNA is filed under the name uncultured bacterium. RNAcentral's name for it is "bacterial SSU rRNA". It matches the Rfam family "Bacterial small subunit ribosomal RNA", at positions 501 to 1008 of the family's 1533-position model. The record is from RNAcentral.